GCAAGACUCCCCAUACCUGUGAGAAUACCCUUAGUAUCUUAAACUGAUAUAAAGGAGUGGGUAUCAAGCACACUAUAUAGUAGCUAAAGACAUCUUGCCCAGCCACACCCCCACGGGAUACAGCAGUGAUUAAAAUUAAGCCAUGAACGAAAGUUUGACUAAGUUAUGCUAUUUAGAGUUGGUAAAUUUCGUGCCAGCCGCCGCGGUUAUACGAUUAACUCAAGUUAAUAAGCAUUCGGCGUAAAGCGUGUUAUAUUUAUAAGAUAAGAUUAAAGUUAAGCUAUAACUAAGCCGUAAAAAGCCAUAGUUAGUAUAAAAAUAAACAACGAAAGUGACUUUAUAAGUCUAUAUUACACGACAGCUAGAUCCCAAACUGAGAUUAGAUACCUCACUAUGUCUAGCCGUAAACUUAAACUAUUAAUUCAACAAAAUAGUUCGCCCGAGAACUACUAGCAACAGCUUAAAACUCAAAGGACUUGGCGGUGCUUUAUAUCCAUCUAGAGGAGCCUGUUCUAUAAUCGAUAAACCCCGCUUUACCUUACCACAUCUUGCUAAUUCAGCCUACAUACCGCCAUCCUCAGCAAACCUUAACAAAGAAAAAAAGUAAGCACAAGCAUUUACCAUAAAAACGUUAGGUCAAGGCGUAGCUUAUGAGGUGGAAAGUAAUGGGCUACAUUUUCUGUUUCAGAAUAAAUUAUACGUUAUCUCUUAUGAAACCUAAGAGACAAAGGCGAUUUAGUAGUAAAUUAAGAUUAGAGAGCUUAAUUG
RNAcentral lists this ribosomal RNA (768 nucleotides) under Pedetes capensis (springhare). RNAcentral describes it as "partial 12S ribosomal RNA". It matches the Rfam family "Bacterial small subunit ribosomal RNA", at positions 258 to 1364 of the family's 1533-position model. The record is from RNAcentral. Lineage: Eukaryota; Metazoa; Chordata; Mammalia; Rodentia; Pedetidae.